Molecule: transfer RNA, 72 nt
Filed under: Marmota marmota marmota (Alpine marmot)
Lineage: Eukaryota; Metazoa; Chordata; Mammalia; Rodentia; Sciuridae
Also listed under: 1 other name
Rfam family: tRNA
About the family: Transfer RNA (tRNA) molecules are approximately 80 nucleotides in length.
Source: Rfam by way of RNAcentral
UGGGCUGUAGCUCAGUGAUAGAGCACUUGCCUAGCACGUAUGAGGCACUGGGUUUGAUCCUCAGCACUGCAU